UCCGGUUUGACACCGGCAGUCUCCCUAGAGUGCCCGGCAUAACCCGCUGGUAACUAGGGACGAGGGUUGCGCUCGUUGCGGGACUUAACCCAACAUCUCACGACACGAGCUGACGACAGCCAUGCAACACCUGUCCACGUUUCACCCUUGCGGGCAGGGUAUCCAACUUUCGUCGGACCCAUCCGUGGAUUUCAAACCCGGGUAAGGUUCUUCGCGUUGCUUCGAAUUGAACCACAUGCUCCACCGCUUGUGUGAGCCCCCGUCAAUUCCUUUGAGUUUUAGCCUUGCGACCGUACUCCCCAGGCGGGGCACUUAACACAUUUGCUUCGGCAGAGACAGUAUCGACACCACCUCUACCCAGUGCCCAUCGUUUACAGCUAGGACUAC
This 387-nucleotide unclassified non-coding RNA is filed under the name uncultured Planctomycetota bacterium. Its description in RNAcentral is "uncultured planctomycete contains 16S-23S intergenic spacer region". Lineage: Bacteria; Pseudomonadati; Planctomycetota. The record is from RNAcentral.